RNAcentral lists this unclassified non-coding RNA (335 nucleotides) under soil metagenome. Its description in RNAcentral is "partial contains 5.8S ribosomal RNA, internal transcribed spacer 2, and large subunit ribosomal RNA". The stretch from base 1 to 120 matches the Rfam family "5.8S ribosomal RNA", at positions 35 to 154 of the family's 154-position model. The record is from RNAcentral.
GAUGAAGAACGUAGCAAAAUGCGAUAAGUAAUGUGAAUUGCAGAAUUCAGUGAAUCAUCGAAUCUUUGAACGCACAUUGCGCCCGCCAGUAUUCUGGCGGGCAUGCCUGUUCGAGCGUCAUUUCAACCAUCAAGCCCCCGGCUUGUGUUGGGGACCUGCGGCUGCCGCAGGCCCUGAAAACCAGUGGCGGGCUCGCUAGUCACUCCGAGCGUAGUAAUACAUCUCGCUCAGGGCGUGCUGCGGGUUCCGGCCGUUAAAAGCCUUAUUUUACCCAAGGUUGACCUCGGAUCAGGUAGGAAGACCCGCUGAACUUAAGCAUAUCAAUAAGCGGAGGA